UCUGCUUUCAGCUCAGUUGGUAGAGCACGGGACUCUUAAUGUCAGGGUCAUGGGUUUGAGUCCCACACUGCACAA
RNAcentral lists this transfer RNA (75 nucleotides) under Podarcis lilfordi (Lilford's wall lizard). RNAcentral describes it as "tRNA.Lys". Lineage: Eukaryota; Metazoa; Chordata; Lepidosauria; Squamata; Lacertidae. The record is from RNAcentral.